UACGGAGGGGGCUAGCGUUGCUCGGAAUCACUGGGCGUAAAGGGCGCGUAGGCGGACUUUUAAGUCGGAGGUGAAAGCCCAGGGCUCAACCCUGGAAUUGCCUUCGAUACUGGGAGUCUUGAGUUCGGAAGAGGUUGGUGGAACUGCGAGUGUAGAGGUGAAAUUCGUAGAUAUUCGCAAGAACACCAGUGGCGAAGGCGGCCAACUGGUCCGAUACUGACGCUGAGGCGCGAAAGCGUGGGGAGCAAACAGG
RNAcentral lists this ribosomal RNA (253 nucleotides) under uncultured bacterium. Its description in RNAcentral is "partial 16S ribosomal RNA". It matches the Rfam family "Bacterial small subunit ribosomal RNA", at positions 524 to 776 of the family's 1533-position model. The record is from RNAcentral.